This 22-nucleotide microRNA is filed under the name Drosophila ananassae. Its description in RNAcentral is "Dan-Mir-977_3p (mature (co-guide))". Lineage: Eukaryota; Metazoa; Arthropoda; Insecta; Diptera; Drosophilidae. The record is from RNAcentral.
UGAGAUAUUCACGUCGUCGAAA